CACGUAGGGUGCGAGCGUUGUCCGGAAUUAUUGGGCGUAAAGAGCUCGUAGGCGGCUUGUUGCGUCUGCUGUGAAAUCCCGGGGCUUAACCCCGGGCGUGCAGUGGAUACGGGCAGGCUGGAGGCAGGCAGGGGAGAAUGGAAUUCCCGGUGUAGCGGUGAAAUGCGCAGAUAUCGGGAGGAACACCGGUGGCGAAGGCGGUUCUCUGGGCCUGUUCUGACGCUGAGGAGCGAAAGCGUGGGGAGCGAACAGG
Molecule: ribosomal RNA, 253 nt
Filed under: uncultured bacterium
Lineage: Bacteria
Description: partial 16S ribosomal RNA
Rfam family: Bacterial small subunit ribosomal RNA
Source: RNAcentral